This 250-nucleotide unclassified non-coding RNA is filed under the name fungal sp. Its description in RNAcentral is "partial internal transcribed spacer region". The stretch from base 1 to 46 matches the Rfam family "Eukaryotic small subunit ribosomal RNA", at positions 1786 to 1831 of the family's 1831-position model. Lineage: Eukaryota; Fungi. The record is from RNAcentral.
AAGUCGUAACAAGGUAACCGUAGGUGAACCUGCGGUUGGAUCAUUAAUAAAAGAAAGGCUUUAGAGCCCUCUUAACACUAGCGUCUGCCUAAAAAACAGGCCUAGUACACCCCUUGUGAACCGUUUAUUGUCUCUGGUGGGAUUACUCCCUUGGAGUGCCCACCGGUUAAUUUGUUAACCCCUGUUUUUAACAACGUCUUAUCAAAUUUAUAAUUUGAAACAACUUUUGACAACGGAUCUCUUGGCUCUC